This 497-nucleotide ribosomal RNA is filed under the name uncultured bacterium. RNAcentral's name for it is "partial 16S ribosomal RNA". It matches the Rfam family "Bacterial small subunit ribosomal RNA", at positions 28 to 507 of the family's 1533-position model. The record is from RNAcentral.
GGUGAACGCUGGCGGCGUGCCUAAUACAUGCAAGUCGAGCGAACGGACGAGAAGCUUGCUUCUCUGAUGUUAGCGGCGGACGGGUGAGUAACACGUGGAUAACCUACCUAUAAGACUGGGAUAACUUCGGGAAACCGGAGCUAAUACCGGAUAAUAUUUUGAACCGCAUGGUUCAAAAGUGAAAGACGGUCUUGCUGUCACUUAUAGAUGGAUCCGCGCUGCAUUAGCUAGUUGGUAAGGUAACGGCUUACCAAGGCAACGAUGCAUAGCCGACCUGAGAGGGUGAUCGGCCACACUGGAACUGAGACACGGUCCAGACUCCUACGGGAGGCAGCAGUAGGGGAUCUUCCGCAAUGGGCGAAAGCCUGACGGAGCAACGCCGCGUGAGUGAUGAAGGUCUUCGGAUCGUAAAACUCUGUUAUUAGGGAAGAACAUAUGUGUAAGUAACUGUGCACAUCUUGACGGUACCUAAUCAGAAAGCCACGGCUAACUACGUG